This 451-nucleotide ribosomal RNA is filed under the name uncultured bacterium. RNAcentral describes it as "bacterial SSU rRNA". It matches the Rfam family "Bacterial small subunit ribosomal RNA", at positions 335 to 799 of the family's 1533-position model. The record is from RNAcentral.
ACUCCUACGGGAGGCAGCAGUGGGGAAUAUUGCACAAUGGGCGCAAGCCUGAUGCAGCAACGCCGUGUGAGUGAAGAAGGUUUUCGGAUCGUAAAACUCUGUCCUAAGGGAAGAAACAAAUGACGGUACCUUAGGAGGAAGCCCCGGCUAACUACGUGCCAGCAGCCGCGGUAAUACGUAGGGGGCAAGCGUUAUCCGGAAUCACUGGGCGUAAAGGGUGCGUAGGCGGCUUAGCAAGCCAGGGGUGAAAGGCAUUGGCUCAACCAAUGUAAGCCUUUGGAACUGUUAAGCUUGAGUGCAGGAGAGGUAAGUGGAAUUCCUAGUGUAGAGGUGAAAUUCGUAGAUAUUAGGAGGAACACCAGUGGCGAAGGCGACUUACUGGACUGUAACUGACGCUGAUGCACGAAAAGCGUGGGUAGCGAACAGGAUUAGAUACCCUGGUAGCACAGAG